AUGAGUUCGAUUGGAAGGGGUGCUGGUUGUGCAAAUGGAGUUGAUGCUGCUGUUGUAGCUUUGGCCAAGGUGUCGCUAAUUAAUUGUGAAGGCAGUGAUGGGGAUGCAGGUAUUUCAUCGUCAGAUGUUAACAAUUUGAUCAUGCAUUCUUGCCGUGACAUCAAUGCCGAGCAUGUUGCGCCCAAUUCCCCACUGCCGUGCAACAUGGGUGUGCCUCCCAAUGUUGAACCAUGUAGAGCUUUCGUUGAUGCUCAUGAGAGGAAGAAGCGGUUGAGGCUCCCCAAAGGUGUAGUUGAUUCCUCAAAUGUCACCAGCAAUUCUCAUGUUCCAGAUGCAUGUGCUGGAGUCCAUGUGCAAGUUGGCACAUCACUGGAUGUCUCUGCUAGUCUGAAUGUAACUGCAAACGUGGGUUUGGUGAGUGAAGGCGGCCCUCCAGUAUCUUCUAGCCAAGGGAAGCGCGGGGUAGUUGUUGCAAACAUUAAGCAUGGACUUCGUGGCACCCAUCCCACCAGUGGUGUAGCCAGUAAAAUUGUUGAUCCAUCUCCACAUCGAAGUCCACGCAUUGCCAGUGGUCCAGUGGUUGAUCGUGUCUAUCCUAGUGUUAAGCUUGAUGGAAAGCAUGUUUCUUGCGAGGGAUCAGAGGCUGGAGGUGGUUGUAGAGGACCUUCUGUUGAUGGCACUGGGCUCGACGGGAAUGAUGUUGUUCCUAGAAAGCGUCAGCCCAAGGUUGUUGGGAGUGGACCAAAGAAGAAAGCGGCAAAGUCCACGGCGUCAAAUGCUGGUGCUUGUGAUAGGAUCAAUGUAACUGUUCGCUGUUCUUUGGGAGAGGUUUCUGAGGUAGUUGCUCUGCUUGAGACACGACAUAAAGAUAUUGUUCGUAAUGCUGGUUUUGGCUGUGUAUUUGACUGGGUUCUGAAGGGCAAUGUGUCGUGCCUUCUGAUGUGUCACGUUAUGAAGAAUAUUGACACAACCACGAUGUGCAUUGACUGUGGCCCUAAUAAAGUUCUUGUAGUCAGCAGAGAAACCAUGCAUCUGUGUUUUCGGUUCCCGAUGGGUGAUGACAUAGCUCCCAGACCAUCUGAUAGUGGCCAUGACGAGUCAAUGGCUAGAUUUAAGGCGGAGUUGGGUUUCAGCAAAGCUUCUGUGGUUGACACAAAAGACCUGAGGACUGUGUUGAAGGAGCUUGUAGUCGAUGAGUCAAAGGAUGUGCUUGUUGUAAAGAAUGAAGAUGUAGCCUUUAAAGUACAAAAAUCUAGUAACGCCAUGGAAGAUGAUGGUGUAUUUGAGAAGAUUGAUGAUUUUUUAUGGAAGGUGAAUGAGUUGGCUGCUGAAGUUCCCACGACGUUUGAUCGUCUGAGCUGCAUUGCUGGCAUUUUUCCUGAAGGCCAUGGACCAAGAGAAGAAUCAAUGAAGGAGGCUACAGAGCGUGAUGUUGCUAUCAUUGGUAGUCUUCGGAGUGCGACAUCACACAUUCGCACUGCUUUUAACCAUUUGAAGAAGAAACAAGAUGCGAUAUGCAAAGGCAUUGAAAAUGAUGCUCGUAUUAUUGUGAGUCAGAUUAGCAAGCAGAAGAAUGACGCGUCUACCCCCGUUUUUUAUGAUGAUUAUACUGGUCAAUGGGGUGAGGAGAUUAGCAAGCAGAAGAAUGAGGCGUCAGCCCCCGUGCGUGAUGAUGAUUAUACUGGUCAACGGGGUGAGGAGGUUGUUGUUGAUGCAUCAGAUGACGAUGAAGAUGAUAAGCAAGAGCCCCCUGUUGAAUCUCCUCCGCAUGAUUUUAGUGAUGACUACGUCAAUGAUGAUGAUUGUUUUGGUGGUGAUCCCGAUGGCAGUUGUAAUGGUGUUGAUGACAAUGUUGAUUAUACUAAGGGAGUUUUUGCACCAGACCAGCAUGUAGCUGAAGGUGAUUGCGACUAA
RNAcentral lists this ribosomal RNA (1914 nucleotides) under Triticum aestivum (bread wheat). RNAcentral describes it as "partial small subunit ribosomal RNA". Lineage: Eukaryota; Viridiplantae; Streptophyta; Magnoliopsida; Poales; Poaceae. The record is from RNAcentral.